UACAGAGGUCUCAAGCGUUGUUCGGAUUCAUUGGGCGUAAAGGGUGUGUAGGUGGCGCCGUAAGUCGGGUGUGAAAUCUCGGGGCUUAACUCCGAAACUGCAUUCGAUACUGCGGUGCUUGAGGACUGGAGAGGAGACUGGAAUUCAUGGUGUAGCAGUGAAAUGCGUAGAGAUCAUGAGGAAGACCAGUGGCGAAGGCGGGUCUCUGGACAGUUCCUGACGCUGAGGCACGAAGGUCAGGGGAGCAAGCGGG
RNAcentral lists this ribosomal RNA (253 nucleotides) under uncultured bacterium. RNAcentral describes it as "partial 16S ribosomal RNA". It matches the Rfam family "Bacterial small subunit ribosomal RNA", at positions 524 to 776 of the family's 1533-position model. The record is from RNAcentral.